UGGGGAAUAUUGGACAAUGGGCGCAAGCCUGAUCCAGCCAUGCCGCGUGAGUGAUGAAGGCCUUAGGGUUGUAAAGCUCUUUUAUCCGGGACGAUAAUGACGGUACCGGAAGAAUAAGCCCCGGCUAACUUCGUGCCAGCAGCCGCGGUAAUACGAAGGGGGCUAGCGUUGCUCGGAAUCACUGGGCGUAAAGGGCGCGUAGGCGGACAUUUAAGUCAGGGGUGAAAUCCCGGGGCUCAACCUCGGAAUUGCCCUCAAAACUGCACGUCUUGAAACCGAGAGAGGUAAGGGGAAUUCCUAGUGUAGAGGUGAAAUUCGUAGAUAUUAGGAAGAACACCAGUGGCGAAGGCGCCUUACUGGCUCGGUACUGACGCUGAGGUACGAAAGCGUGGGGAGCAAACA
RNAcentral lists this ribosomal RNA (402 nucleotides) under uncultured bacterium. RNAcentral's name for it is "bacterial SSU rRNA". It matches the Rfam family "Bacterial small subunit ribosomal RNA", at positions 355 to 774 of the family's 1533-position model. The record is from RNAcentral.